ACAGAAACGAUGGGAGCUUGCUCCCAGGCGUCGAGUGGCGGACGGGUGAGUAAUACUUAGGAAUCUGCCCAAUAGUGGGGGACAACUCGGGGAAACUCGAGCUAAUACCGCAUACGCCCUACGGGGGAAAGCGGGGGAUCUUCGGACCUCGCGCUAUUGGAUGAGCCUAAGUCGGAUUAGCUUGUUGGUGGGGUAAAGGCCUACCAAGGCGACGAUCCGUAGCUGGUCUGAGAGGAUGAUCAGCCACACUGGGACUGAGACACGGCCCAGACUCCUACGGGAGGCAGCAGUAGGGAAUAUUGGACAAUGGGCGAAAGCCUGAUCCAGCAAUGCCGCGUGUGUGAAGAAGGCCUGCGGGUUGUAAAGCACUUUCAGUAGAGAAGAAAAGCUUAGGGAUAAUACCCCUGAGUCUUGACGUAACCUACAGAAGAAGCACCGGCUAACUUCGUGCCAGCAGCCGCGGUAAUACGGAGGGUGCGAGCGUUAAUCGGAAUUACUGGGCGUAAAGCGCGCGUAGGCGGCUUGGUAAGUCGGAUGUGAAAGCCCUGGGCUUAACCUGGGAACUGCAUUCGAUACUGCUGAGCUAGAGUAUGGUAGAGGGAAGUGGAAUUUCCGGUGUA
Molecule: ribosomal RNA, 620 nt
Filed under: uncultured Gammaproteobacteria bacterium
Lineage: Bacteria; Pseudomonadati; Pseudomonadota; Gammaproteobacteria
Description: bacterial SSU rRNA
Rfam family: Bacterial small subunit ribosomal RNA
Source: RNAcentral